CCUACGGGCGGCAGCAGUGAGGAAUAUUGGUCAAUGGACGGAAGUCUGACCCAGCAAUGCCGCGUGCAGGAAGACGGCUCUAUGAGUUGUAAACUGCUUUUGUACAAGGGUAAACCUGAAUACGUGUAGACAGCGGAAAGUACAGUACGAAGAAGGAUCGGCUACCUCCGUGCCAGCAGCCGCGGUAAUACGGAGGAUCCAAGCGUUAUCCGGAUUUAUUGGGUUUAAAGGGUGCGUAGGCGGAUUGAUAAGUUAGAGGUGAAAUGUCCGAGCUUAACUCGGGAACUGCCUCUAAUACUGUUGAUCUAGAGUGUAGUUGCGGUAGGCGGAAUGUAUGGUGUAGCGGUGAAAUGCUUCGAUAUCAUACAGAACACCGAUUGCGUAUGCAGCUUACCAAUCUAUAUCUGACGUUGAGGCACGAAAGCGUGGGUAGCAAACAGGAUUAGAUACCCUGGUAGUC
This 460-nucleotide ribosomal RNA is filed under the name uncultured bacterium. RNAcentral describes it as "partial 16S ribosomal RNA". It matches the Rfam family "Bacterial small subunit ribosomal RNA", at positions 338 to 795 of the family's 1533-position model. The record is from RNAcentral.